Molecule: long non-coding RNA, 445 nt
Organism: Glycine soja
Lineage: Eukaryota; Viridiplantae; Streptophyta; Magnoliopsida; Fabales; Fabaceae
Exons: 2
Source: RefSeq, a predicted model, not a curated record
AAGUUUUCAAUCCUUUCACAGUGAGUUAGCAAAACUGAGUUCCAAGACUUUGCUCGUUCUUGUUAUGUUCGUGGCUUUUGUACUCGUUCUUUUUGCUGAAGUUGCACCCAAAGAUAUGGAUGAGAAUUUUCAUGCAAAUGAUGUAGGUGUUGUUGAUACAAAUGUGGUAGAUGAAAUAAAAUAUGGUUACGGUAGUUGGCGAACUGGUGCAGCAUUGUCCUCCUAAUUGCUGUUAUGUGUUCCGUGGAAAGUGUAUAAGGUGCUGCUGAACCUCAUACCUAAGAAGGAACUUUUGCUAAGAACUAGUUGUUGCUGUCACUAUCACUAUAUAUAAAUAAAGAGAAAUGCAACACAAACUACAUGAGAAGUGUAGUUAUACAUGAAAUAAAAAUGAAAAUCUCUCCUUCUUAACAAAAGAAUGAUAGAUUAAUUUGACAUGUUUUCC